GGAGAGAUGCAGGAGUGGUUGAACUGGCCGCUCUCGAAAAGCGGUAAGGUGAAAGCCUUCGAGGGUUCGAAUCCCUCUCUCUCCGCCA
RNAcentral lists this transfer RNA (88 nucleotides) under Candidatus Saccharibacteria bacterium 49-20. RNAcentral describes it as "tRNA-Ser". It matches the Rfam family "tRNA". From Rfam's summary of the family: Transfer RNA (tRNA) molecules are approximately 80 nucleotides in length. Their secondary structure includes four short double-helical elements and three loops (D, anti-codon, and T loops). Further hydrogen bonds mediate the characteristic L-shaped molecular structure. tRNAs have two regions of fundamental functional importance: the anti-codon, which is responsible for specific mRNA codon recognition, and the 3' end, to which the tRNAs corresponding amino acid is attached (by aminoacyl-tRNA synthetases). tRNAs cope with the degeneracy of the genetic code in two manners: having more than one tRNA (with a specific anti-codon) for a particular amino acid; and 'wobble' base-pairing, i.e. permitting non-standard base-pairing at the 3rd anti-codon position. The record is from RNAcentral. Lineage: Bacteria; Candidatus Saccharimonadota. RNAcentral also lists the same sequence under 7 other names.